UGGAAAGACGAUGCUACAGCUAGACAGUGACAGCUAACAGGGAGUGCUUGCUGUGUGGCCGACACUUUGCUGAGAGUUUAUAUGCUUCAUCUCAUGUCUUCCUUAACACAGGACGAUGAGGAAGAGACAAAUGAACUUGUGUUGAGUUUGGAAGAUGACGACAGAUACCUGCUAAAAGAAGACAGCACUCUGAAGGCAGCUGGAAUCGCCAGUGAAACUGAAAUUGCAUUCUUCUGUGAAGAAGAUUAUAAGAACUACAAAGCUAAUCCCAUUUCAUCCUGGUGAAAAUGUCUCAGGGGCUUCCGUUUUGCAUACCUGUAUUAAGCUCUUUAUUCCACUACUGAGUUUUUGAAAUUGACAAACAAAUCUUAAAAAAAAUUAAUCCCAGGUUCUAGUAUUUGAGCUGAAAUCUGGCGAUUUCUUUCUCUGUAAGCCUCUUCUUUUCUCCUUCUUGUUGUAAAAUGACAUGAGAAAAACACUUACUUUUUUAAGUGAAAUAAAUUGUUAUUAAAAUCA
Carlito syrichta (Philippine tarsier) is the source of this 516-nucleotide long non-coding RNA. RefSeq lists it as uncharacterized. The record is from RefSeq and is a predicted model, not a curated record. NCBI's taxonomy places the organism in Eukaryota, Metazoa, Chordata, Mammalia, Primates, Tarsiidae. The transcript has 3 exons.